Long non-coding RNA from Oncorhynchus tshawytscha (Chinook salmon), 1579 nucleotides. RefSeq lists it as uncharacterized. The record is from RefSeq and is a predicted model, not a curated record. NCBI's taxonomy places the organism in Eukaryota, Metazoa, Chordata, Actinopteri, Salmoniformes, Salmonidae. The transcript is spliced from 2 exons.
CAGUAAAGUACAAGCAGCCCGCAGCGAGCGGAGCCAAAAUAAAAAGCCAAAUACCUCUAAAACGGUGAGGGGUUUUAACAGGCACAAAGGCACGCACGGCCGGGUGCAGCAGCAAUGCCAGGAUUUAUAGAACGCUGGGCCAGUAAACGGGACUCGGAAGCAUCAGCGGAGCCUUCCGGAACGGGUGUUUUUACAAACUGUAACUAUUGGAAACAAAUGCUGUGUUAAAGAGGUUGAAAAGAAACAUGAUCCACAGAGUCUCCACCCCCCAACACAGCUGGUUUCACUUCCUGGGGGAGACUUUACUCACGCCACCCCCACUUCCUGUUGAUCAGUCAGGAGAGAGGCUGUAAAUCUUCGAUGAGGACAUCAUUGAUGUUUGGGAUGUGGUUUUCUGUUUGGCUUUUGAUGGAGGUAACUUCAGCAAUACGGAUUGAAUCAAGCCCCUUACUGUAAUAGGCUUUUUGACAAAUCAGGAUAAAAUGGUCUGGUGGGUCCUGUGGCGAUGGUUAUUACCAUCAGGCAUUUUUACAGCCUUCUAAGCCUCACAUAUUUCAGCCUGUACGCCAGACUUCCUAAAGGAUCUCCUUCACUGUCACAUGUGUCUGGGUCUAGUAAAAUAAGCACUCAGCUCGUAAACCGGCCAAUGAGCAGACCCCAAAUAGCCACUUCUGCCAGCCUGACUGACAGAAGCCCUAAAGAGACGUGUUCGAAGAUGGAGGGAAGCUAGUCACAUGGAGAUUGAGGAGGCAGUCAAUCAAAGAGAAUGGCUACAUCUACCAGAAACAUUGACUGCAAUGUGCUUCUGUUGUCUUCUUGUCCUCCUCUGAGGAAACAACAGCUUUUUUUUUUGUCAGCCUCAUGUUGAAGUUGCUUUCUCUGACUAUAUUUCUAAAAGGCACAACAAACCUGCUGCGUUCUCUGUCUACCUACUUUCCUACUUUAGUACCCCAUCUCCCAGCGUGUGUGUGUGUUUGUGUGUGUGUGUGUGUGUGUGUGCGCACACCCUGUCUCCUGCGGUCUGCGUGCUGUAACGCUGUUCUGGUCUCCAGUAAAUCCAAACCACUACCAGGUGUACACACAGAGCCUAGGCUGAGCUGAGCAUACGGCCACAGCUGCUCUGUCUGUGUGUAGUUCUGUGUUUGUGUAUGCAUGUGUGAGUAGAAUGAAGUUGUCAUUAGCCGCUGAUCUAAAGUCAGAUUUUUACAUUUUUCACCCCGAUGCUAAAAAAACGUAAGCUGAUCCUAGAUCUGUACUUAAGGGGCAACCCGUAGUGAUUUAUAGAGCUGCCACCGCAUCAUAGACAUUCUUGUGUAGAGCCGUGCCCCGGUACAGCAGACCAGAGCUCUGUGUGCCAAACGACGCUAUGUUCCCAGCUUCCUCUAUUCCCACGCUUUCCUCUGUUCUGCCAACUGGGAACAUACCUCCCCGUUCACAUCAUUAUGAGAAUAAUAGUCCAACUCUCUCUCUCUCUCUCUCUCUCUCUCUCAUGAUUUCUUGAUGUGCAGUAGGCCUACUUAAUGUAAAACGUGUGGUGUACUGUUACUAUAUGUUAGUUAAAGAAAGUAUACUCUCGUUA